GAUGAACGCUGGCGGCGUGCCUAAUACAUGCGAGUCGAGCGAACAGACGAGGAGCUUGCUCCUCUGACGUUAGCGGCGGACGGGUGAGUAACACGUGGAUAACCUACCUAUAAGACUGGGAUAACUUCGGGAACCCGGAGCUAAUACCGGAUAAUAUAUUGAACCGCAUGGUUCAAUAGUGAAAGACGGUUUUGCUGUCACUUAUAGAUGGAUCCGCGCCGCAUUAGCUAGUUGGUAAGGUAACGGCUUACCAAGGCAACGAUGCGUAGCCGACCUGAGAGGGUGAUCGGCCACACUGGAACUGAGACACGGUCCAGACUCCUACGGGAGGCAGCAGUAGGGAAUCUUCCGCAAUGGGCGAAAGCCUGACGGAGCAACGCCGCGUGAGUGAUGAAGGUCUUCGGAUCGUAAAACUCUGUUAUUAGGGAAGAACAAAUGUGUAAGUAACUAUGCACGUCUUGACGGUACCUAAUCAGAAAGCCACGGCUAACUACGUG
This 497-nucleotide ribosomal RNA is filed under the name uncultured bacterium. RNAcentral describes it as "partial 16S ribosomal RNA". It matches the Rfam family "Bacterial small subunit ribosomal RNA", at positions 28 to 507 of the family's 1533-position model. The record is from RNAcentral.